UCCUCUUUUGAAAGAGUGAAGGGAUAGGCCAAAUUUCCCCAAAUCCAAGCCAUGUGAAUAGCAUUGGGACAGGCAACUUUGCCCUGUUGUGGAUCCAAGGUUACAAGCAUCAUUUUCUUUGUGAAAUGCCACUUCUCUUUGACGAAUUUGACGAUUGCUGGCUCUAACAAGGAUGGAUGGUGCAAUGUGUACCACGGCAUAAGUGCUUGCAACUCCUUAAAUUUUUGUUCCUGCGCGUCAUUCCAUCCCUUUGAUCGAUCCACAAUUGGAAGCCACACUAUUUCGUAUUGAAAUUCUGGCCUUGACCUUGACUCAAGGUAAAUUUGAGACAGUACUAAUAUCUCCUCAUGGCUAGCCUCAAGAUCUGACAGCAGCAGUAGAACAGUCUUUCUUCUUAGCACUUCAACACUAGCCUGAAAUUGAAUUAUACAAAAGUCAUGAAAAAGUAAGAAAAACGCGAAAAAUUGAUUAUAAUUUCAAGUUAUGAACGUACCCUUGUGUGAGUAGUUCCGACUUCAAGUGGAAGUAAAUCAUCCUUGAUAUAAAUCAUCGCCCUCAUUAUCUUCAUGUUGUCAAAUUGUGUUGCCUCAAAGAGGUGCACCAGCAUUUGGAAGUACUCGACGUGCAUCUUUUCCUCUGCACAGAACAUUGAUGUAAACAGUAAAUACAAGCCCAUCACAAAAUUCCUAUCACUUGCCUACAUUUUAGUACUUAAUAAAUCAUGAUUUUGUUACUUACGAAUAUGAGCAUAGCAACGGUUUAGUUCAACUCUGAGGUGUUCGCUUAUGUUUUUCAGCUUGUGUGUGGAGCUUGACAUUUCCCAUGUGUCUGCUGUGGUAGCUACUAUCAUGCUGCAGCAUCAAUUAAUCAAUUGUUAGUUACUUCGAUUUUGGACCUAAAUAUUAGACGAAGAAAAAAUUAGUUUUGUUUAAAACAGAGGAGGCUUACUCAUAGCUCAUUCCAAGAAGGGUAGUUAGUUGGGAAGCACAAGCAACAAUACUUUUAAUAGUCCAAUAAACAGCAGUAGGAAUGUGACUGAUCGCGACAGACAAAGGUGGUUGAUCUUCAGUAAUGUACUGAGAAGGAAGCUUCUUGAAUUCCAUUAUGAUUUUGGUUACUUCCAAAAUGGCCUUGAUGAGUUCAUUGAUGGCAUCGAAUCGAGACCUGAGGCUAGCACUAUGUUCCAUGAUGUCUGGUAGUUGUUUUAAGAUGGCCACAGAUUUGGCCAAGGGAUGAGUGGCAAACAUCUGAGCCACCAGCCAGAAUUCACCAUAAGUAACGGCAAAUGCUGCUAAAGAUAUGACUAGUUUCGCGUCCCAUUGGUAGCCAGAGAGCAUCCCUAAGACUGACAUUGUUGUUGAAUGCGCAUCAUGACCUCCACUUGAGCACUUGCAUGUUAACUGCAAUCACAAUUGUAGAUUCAAUCAAUGUUUAUGGAAUUUAAUAAAGAACUUUGAAACUUGUGAUGUGUAACCAGUAUAUAGUAUGAACUAGUACCUCGCAAGAGACUUUGUGUAUGAUAUAAGCCAAUCCUUCGAGUAUGCCAUCGAAAGCAAGUGAGGCCUUUUCUUCCAACUUCAAUGCUUCAAUAUUACCUUCAAGAUGAUGAGCUCCCGCUCCCUGGAAACAUAAAAGUUAGUUAUAUACCUAAACAGAGCCAACAAAACUUAAUAGUAUUGACUAGAAACUAAACGUAUACGAAAAAUGUUACAUUAAGCACGCCAUCCAUGGCAGCAGGAUAGGAAUGUUGAAACACGUCCUCAACAAUGUGGAGAAUGACAUUAACAUCAACUUCACGACCAUCAGGAUUGUGAGUAUCCAGGAUUUUCUUAGACAUAGCAUGAUCAUCAGACAAGGAGAAAACGGGGCGUUCUCGCUUAGUCAUUGCCUGUUGAGUUGGCUUCAUACCGCGAGUUGUUGCUGCUGCAGGCACCAAAGCAUGACUUGCCAUUUUUUGUUGCUAAUUUGGGAUUUUAAUUGAAGAAAAAAAAAGAUUGGUUUAAUUUACUAAGCUUUGUUUAUGAUGAUGUUUAGUGAAGCAUGCAGGCAAGGUAUAUAUAGUGGGAAAAAAUUGAAUAAAGAAAUGUGGGGACAAAUUGAAUCAAGUACCUUGCUUGUAAGAUGGUGUAAUAUCCUAAAAGCACCUAAUGGAUAAGUAAUCAUUAGCCUUGCUGCAUUGUGGACCCUUACAAAUCUCUUUACAGAGUUAAAGUAUAGAAUAAUUUUAUUUUUAAUUUUGAUUGGUACAACUCCUAGAUUUGAUUGUUAGAAUGAGAAAAAAAUGUAAUGUUUGUUAGUACUAAGUGAUGAGAGCUUAGAUUUUAGCAUAAUAGAGUUAGUAGCGUAACAAUAAUAUAUACCGUGCAAUCUUUUAAAUAGAUAGUAUUUUAAAUGGUCAUUCAUGACUCGAGUAUGCAUUAUUUUCUCAAAAAAGUAUUUAGUUUUAUUUUAUAAUUUUAAAUCACUCAAUUAUAAACGGUGUAAUUUAUAUGUACAUAAUAAGAAAAUUACUUAUUCAUUUACAUAGUGUAAUAUCUUAGCAAAGAAGAAACAAAACGUGUGACUCCACCAAUAAUAAAAUGGUUAAACUAGCACCUUUUUUUUAAAAAAUAUUAUUUAAAUUGAUUGAGUGAUUUUCUAGAUGAAAUAUAAGAAUAGUUGAAUGACUUUUAAGUUAUAUAAUAAAAUUGAAUGAUUUUCGGGUUAUAAAAUAAAGUUGAGUGUUUUUCUUGAAAAAUCAUCCUUAGUUGAUUGAUUUUUGAUUUGCAAAAACAAAACAUAAUUAAAUGACUUUGUAAUAUAACUAUGCAUUAUUUUGUAAUUGAUUUGGAUCACCAGAUAAUUUCUACUAUUGUGUACUAUUUAAAAUCACCAGGGAAAGAGUACCUAAUACUUUUUUUUAAUUGAAGCAAACAAAUAAAUAAUUUCCUUGAUCAUAAAUUUAUCUUGUCAUAUAGUAAUGAUUAGGUUAGCUAUUUGGAUGAAAAUGUGAUUCUUAUUAAUUUAAUUGGUUCUCUCCGAAUUCGUUAAUAUUAAUCGAGAUUAUUUAAUAGAUAUUUGAUCAUAAAUAUUCUUUUUAUCUUUUUUCUUCGAAUUGAAAUUCAAAAAUUAAGUAUUGCCAUACAUUAAAAAAUUAUUUCCACUUUAAAUUAUUCAUAAAUAUUCAAAACCAAAUUAUUCAUAAAAACUAUUAAUUUGUAUUCAUAAUCAAACAUAACUCAUUUUUUUGAAUAUCUUUUCUAUUAUUUUAAAAAUAAAAUCUAUGUCUUUAUAUGAUGAGAAGAAGAUAGGAAUAUAUGUGAAGAUGAGCUUUACUCCCUUUAUUUAAAAAAUUAUUAUAUAGUAUAUUUGUUCGUGUUGUCCCACUUACAAAGUGAUACGAGUAUUCUUAAUUAGACUACCAUUUGCCCCUUUAAGGCAUCACAGUAAAUAAAAAAUAAAAAGACAAAACACUUGGAAACUUUAAUUUGAGUCAUAAUUAGAUGACAUACUCUUAGGACUCAUUUGAUAGAGUGUAUGAAAAUAUUGUUAAAUAAAGUUAAUUAGUAAUACAUGUAUUAGUUAUCCUUGCAUAUAAUGACCCUUCAGGUCAUUUUUUUUCUUAAAGCCUCCUUUCUGUCGUUUAGAGCAUUUCUAUAUCAACAUCAAGUCAUUUAUGACUUACUGGUACUGACAGUUUGAUCGCCUGGUUGUUCGUUUGGAUUUAGUACAAUUUCCCGUGUUUUAGACACCUUGAAGCUUGAAAAGUGACUUUUAGUCCUUUAUCAGGUAAACUGCCUCAAAAUGGAAUUUUCAGAGUUGCAUCAGCUCCGCAAUGACCGAAUUAGGGUUGUAGCAACGUCGACACUAGUAUCGAAGCCUUCGAGGCGAGUUGGACCAUUAGGCGUUUUAGCUUUUGAAAUCAGGCCUAAGAUUGAGUUUGGUCAACAUUCUUGAAAAAAGUGCUCGGAUGAAAAUUAUGUAAGCGAGCGCGGUUAGCCUCGAAAUGUCGAGUUUGGUCUAGAACGACCUUUCAUUCGACUCCCGAAGUUCCCAGACUCAUUUCGAGCCCAUUGGUGGAUUUCGGUUAAAAAUGACCUUUGGAACUGGGAUCCACUUUUUAUCGAGAUGAACUCUGAUGAAAACUCUGACUGCGCUAUUGAGUACAUAACGUCAAAUUUAGUGGGGUAGCAUAGUUCGUAUGCAAACACGGAUUCUGAACGAAUUUCGAGCACCUCGUCGGAGACUUUUAAAAGAUAGUAAAAGUUGAAAUCUGAUGCACCCUUUUAGCGACCAGAGUUUGGGAUUUUAACGACUAGAUUUUGGGGGGGGGGGGGGAGGGGGGGUUAGCGACCAGUUUCGCUUUUAUAAAACCUUCAAUUCAACUUCAACCCUCUUUUUAAAAGUGCCGAUAUCUUGAGUUAUAGAGCUCAAAUUUGAGCGAUUAGGUUGUGAGAUUUUUCAAGAAAAAUGCAUUGGUGAGCUUGCAAGCUGCUUUGGACCUUCGUUUAAUGUAAAUUCUUGUUUUCACCUGUUGUCUUGGCUACUUUAUGAAUCCAAUUUGUGGAUAUUUUAGGACUUGAUUUCCCCCUAAUUCUAAGUUCGAAUUCGAUGAUUUCAGUGGCUAUCUUGAGUGUUUUUUUAGGAGAAUGCUUUGACGUGGUUGAAAUUUGUAUUUGAAGUUUCGUCAGAGGUAAAAAUUGUGUUUUGGCUGCUGUGAUAGCUCAUUUUUAAGCUCAAUUUGUAGAAAAUUUUAGAAGAUGAUUUCUUGGUCAUUUUAGGUCUAAAUAUGGUGAUUCAAGAGCCUAGAUUGCCAAAAAAAAAUUCAUGAGGAUCGUCGUGGUGUGAUUGAUUUCAACAUUUUGGACCCUCAUUUUUGACAUUUUCUUGUAAAUAGUUUUUGCUAUGUUGUUCAUUUUUAGUGUGAUUUUGGGUUUUUAGUUGCAUGUUCAUAUUGAUACUUUUCCGAGCCCCAAAUUGUGUUCCUAGUUGGAACACAUGUUUGAGGAUAUGUUUAGAACUUUAUUUGGUGUCAAUUUUGGAAUUUCCUGCGUGGGUCUCAUUUUUCCAGUUUUGACCCCGAAAUUGGUCUGACUCUAUUUCUUGCGAUUUUAGUGUCUAAACGACCGCAAUAACAUUGUGACCUCUAAUUUUGAUAGCGUAUGAGGCCGUUCGAAAAGGGAAAAUAUCAGAGAAUUGUUUUUGGAGCACGCAUGAUUGGCCUACAGGUAGGUUACGACUUUCCACUCUUAGAUUGAGCUCGAGCAUGUGAAUGCAUGUUGAUUAGUUGAGAUUUGAGUUGGGUAGUUAUUAAAUCAUGCAUACGUAAUUAGAAAUCAUAUUUUUGGCCUAUUUAGGGAAUUAUCGGGUAAUUAUGAGCAUGUUUUAUGCUAUUAGUUGACCCGCAUUAUAAUGUGUACUACUUUUUGAAGCAUGUUGGGACUUAGUUUAGGUUUGACUAGGGCUUGCCUUAGAAAUGCAUGAUUCGGAACGAUAAGACUUAGUCUUAUAGUUUGGGCCUUAUCUAGUCGAUACACUUGCCUUGGCGAUAGUUAAACUUACUUCUUCGAUGUUACGGCUUCACGAGUUACGUCGGUGACACUGAGUUUCGCUUCGCAACUUGAAGUUGAUUUUCGAUUCGAUUUCAAGGACUAACAUUGAUUGGAUGAGUGUUGAUGGCGUUCCACAAGCACUUGUGAUUAUGGAUCGAUAGAGACUCUUUUAGCCGCUACAUUGGCACCUUCGUCGGGCAUCCGGAUUCAAAGGUCCGACCUCGACCUCAUUGAUAUUCUUGAAGAGUAUCCGAAUUCAAGGUUUGACAUCGACCUUAUUGAUAUUCUCGAAGAUCAUCCGGUUCAAGGUUUGACCUCAAUCACCCAUAUACUUAUACAGAGUAUCUGGUUAGAGGUCCGGCCUCAGUUACAUGAUACUUGUAAUUGGAUACUUGGGUACCUUUGAUGAGCAUCCGGUUCGAGGUUCGGCCUCCAUAUUCUAUUAUUUGGGGUUGAGGUUUUGGUUCAAUGUUCUUCGGUCUUGAGUUCUCAGAUACAAUUCUCUUUAGUUAUAGUUAUUCUGUGCACUCGUCAGGCUUAUGGGGGUUCGUUCAGAUUUUUAUUUAAAUUUGCGCAGAAGUGUACCUUAUGGGCUUAUGGGGGCCCAGUUUGGUGUCGAUAGCUUAUAUAUUACUUUAGUUAGUUCAUCCUACACUCAUGUGCAUUCCAAUGUUAAUUAGACUUUUAUUCUUGACCUCUCGUUGUGUUAUUCCUUCUUUUCAUACUGCUUUUACUUUUCAAGAGUCGACCUAUGAUGCCUACUAGGUACAUGUUGUUUGGUACUCAUGCUACACUCUGCAUCUAUUUUCAUGAUGUAGGUUCGAGCACUAGUAGCCAGCGCUAAUCGAGUUUGGAGCAAUCUGAUCCAGAGACUGGGGUGAGCACACAUCGUUUUGUACUAUUUCAGUCUUCAUUUGUAUAUAUAUAGACUUGUCCUUUACCUUUCAAGACAAUUUAGUUUCUGUGGCCCACUUUUGAGACUUGUACUUGUUUUGUUGGUAGCUCUGUACUUGUGAAUUUUACGUUCUGGUAGGGAUCUUUAUUUGUAUAUAUGUUUUGGUUUGCUUCCGCCUGAUUAUAUUGUUAUCUUAAAUUUUGCAUACUCUUAUUUAGUUUUCACCCUCAAACCCGUUACUUGAUGUUCCGGGUUACGGAUUGGCUUACCUACUGGUGGGUUAUAGUAGGUGUCAUCAUGACUCAAGAAAUUGGAUCGUGACAUUUCAUCAAUUACACAUAAAUUAUAUUUAUGCAUUGUUUGAUUUGAUGCAUUAAAAAUAACAUGCAUUGCAUAAAAAAUUAUUUAUAAAGAUACCCUCCAUGAUUAUGGUGGGGGAAAAAAUAUAAAAAGAGGUUUGGAAGGAAAAUUGGGUCUUUAAUCAUACUAAUGCAUUCAUUUUUACCAUUUCAUUGAUAAUACCUAAAAAUUUAGAGUAUUAACAAUACACAACUUAAUUAACACACAAUAGAGUGUAUGACUAAUAUGAAUAUUAACUAUAUAUAAAUUAGAAAAGAAAUGCACACUCUACUAAACUACAUUGUCUAGUAUAGGCUAACGGCCUAUUAUUACGCGUUGUAUUUUGCAUAACAAUGGAUGUGAUGUUUCAACUACUUCUAGUAAGUGAUAGGAUACUAUUUUUUUUUUCUCUCAAAAGAAACUUGUAUUAUGAAAAUUGAAGAUCAUUUGAAUUUUUGAAGUGGUUUGAUACUAUUGAAAAGGCAAGCAAUCCGAUCCCCCCUACCUUGCUAUUUUAAUUUCUUGGCCUUAGCUGUUGUAAUUAUGGCCCCAAGAGAGUGUUUGGAUUCAUCUUAAGGUUUAUGAUGAUUUUACCACGUAAGACCUUAGAUUGUUAUAAACAUAUUUGUUCAUAUUUAUUUACCAUAAUUCAUUAAUACAAUCAAGAAAUUGGUAGGUUUAGACGAAUGAGAAAAAUGACUUCUCAUUGUGAAAUUUAGAUAUACAGAAGCGGUAAAAAAGACCAACCAAUUAUUUUAGAUAACAACAAAAACAUAGAAAACAAAAGCAAGCAAUAGAAGCAAAGGAGUUGGCUCAAUCAGUGCAGCAACGGUACAUGAAGAACCUCUCCAUUGGCCUUCCACAUUCAGCACAAACAAUAACAUCAGGAAUAUCGCCAUCAAGUCCUGGAAGAAUUAAGCGAUUGCAAUGCUCAGGAGUGUGCAAUUGCAAGAAAUAUUCAAUAAGUGCUGGCACAAAUCCUUUAGUUUUUGCGCUAUCUUCCCAAGUUGUGUAAUCUUCCAAUGUCUUAGUAAUUAUCUGACUUUUAGCUCGAGCCAUCUCGAAUGAUCCCCUGCUUAUGAGCGCCCACCCUUGAUCACUUCCAUCGAAGCUCAGCAUUGUCAACACUUCUUGCAUAAUUUUAUCCUCUUGGAUGGUCUUCCCUAGCUGCAUUUUUGAGUAGAACAUGCUCUCAAUUCUUGUCCAGAAGUACCAAACUGAUGUUAAGUCCGUCAAACAGUUACUCAGUUUUUCAUCCGUUAUCGUGCUGUUGAUCUUUCUAACUCUCUCCUUGUUGUUGCUCUUUCCUACAUAUAACAUUUGUAGUUCGAUCCCAGCUCUCUUUGCCACGCUUUGUGCUGAUUUUGUGAAACUACGGAUCCAAUCCAUGUCUUCUCCUCCAUAUAAACAGAUAAAUUUACCACUUGCCAUCUGAUUAAAAUUCUAAAGAAUUAGUAUUUGACAAGAAAGAAAAUUAAUUAUACUUGGGGAUGUUAGUAUAAGAUAAGAUUUUACCCAAUCCAUUAAGUUGGGAUCAAUGCCAUCGACCACGAGCUCAAGUCUCCAAGAUUCCAUACUCCAGAGAGAUUCCUCUUUUGAAAUAGUGAAGGGAUAGGCCAAAUUUCCCCAAAUCCAAGUCAUGUGAAUAGCAUUGGGACAGGCAACUUUGCCCUGUUGUGGAUCCAAGGUUACAAGCAUCAUUUUCUUUGAGAAAUGCCACUUUUCUUUGACGAACUUGGCAAUUGCUGGCUCUAACAAGGAUGGAUGGUGCAAUGUGUACCAUGGCAUAAGU
Molecule: long non-coding RNA, 8557 nt
Filed under: Solanum melongena (eggplant)
Lineage: Eukaryota; Viridiplantae; Streptophyta; Magnoliopsida; Solanales; Solanaceae
Description: long non-coding RNA (SMEL_LNC000078)
Source: RNAcentral